Molecule: long non-coding RNA, 371 nt
Filed under: Linum usitatissimum (flax)
Lineage: Eukaryota; Viridiplantae; Streptophyta; Magnoliopsida; Malpighiales; Linaceae
Description: long non-coding RNA (LUSI_LNC001335)
Source: RNAcentral
UCACAUAUAAGGAAGGAAAAUGUGGAAAUGAACAGAAAAAGCUAAUUAAGUUGAUGAUGAAUUGGAUUAGGUACCAUAAGAGUAGAAGAACGAGAACGGGAGGAAGAAGAGAGGAAGAGGCGCCAUGGCCUACAGGCGAUGAGGAUGAGGAGGAGGAGGAGGAGAAGCAGCAUAAGGAGGAGAAUAGCGACAAUGGUGUGAAGAGAAGGCGCCAUCAUCAUCGCCUCUUUCUCUCUCUCACGCAGAUUACCGAUUGGACCAAAUCUCGCGAUAACUUCGCUUUGAAAAUGGCCGCACUUCCUUCCCAUAAUCGCAUUUCACUUCUCUCUCCCCCCCCUUUCCGCCACCUUCUCCUCCUUGCUCCGCUCGCC